GGUUCCAUGGUGUAGUGGUUAUCACGUCUGCCAUCAAGCAGAAGGACUCCGGUUCAAUUCCGGAUGGGGCCA
Molecule: non-coding RNA, 72 nt
Organism: Musca domestica (house fly)
Lineage: Eukaryota; Metazoa; Arthropoda; Insecta; Diptera; Muscidae
Source: Rfam